CGCGCCGGCGGGGCAGAGCCGGGACUGCCGGGCCGCGACGGGUGGCAUUUGUACAUGAGUGGAACUCAGUGGCACAGCCUGCCCGUGAUCUUCGGCGAAGUUUGUAGCAGACGUUGACCAGAGGCAGAGGUUCACCAGAGCAUUGGACCGAGCCUCCGUGCGCUCAGCUCUCCGUGCGCUGGUCCGCCUCCCCGCCCGCCGAUCAUUUGGCUGGGUCCUGGACGUGGUGGUGACGAUACUCGAGAGUGUGAGGACUGGAACAUCACUUUUCCUCCCAUCUUCUAAGUUCUUCUAGCUGGGUGAACAAUAGCAUUACAGAGGCAGAUUAACAGGAGCGAACGCCCAAAGUUCACUUUAGGAACUCGAGGUCGGAGGCACAUUUGGGGGUAGCAACUGCUUCCCUUCAAGAGCUCUGCUCCUACCCGUUGUGCAAACCGCAACCAUGGUCUACGGCGUGGACUUGGCGCGCCCUCUGCUGGUGGGGACUGAUCACGCCCAUCUGCGCGUUCAAGUUCAAGGUGUGGAGCCUUUGGGUGUGACGUCAGCCUGAGAAGUCAGCUCACUUCGUUAAAGGGCACGUUUUUUUUUCCUGCCAAAUACAAUUUAUUUAAAGGUUUAUAAGAAAAAAAUUAUUAAGAUAUUCUAACACAAAUAAAA
Phyllostomus hastatus (greater spear-nosed bat) is the source of this 657-nucleotide long non-coding RNA. RefSeq lists it as uncharacterized. The record is from RefSeq and is a predicted model, not a curated record. The transcript is spliced from 3 exons. Lineage: Eukaryota; Metazoa; Chordata; Mammalia; Chiroptera; Phyllostomidae.